AAAUUGAAGAGUUUGAUCAUGGCUCAGAUUGAACGCUGGCGGCAGGCCUAACACAUGCAAGUCGAACGGUAACAGGAAGCAGCUUGCUGCUUUGCUGACGAGUGGCGGACGGGUGAGUAAUGUCUGGGAAACUGCCUGAUGGAGGGGGAUAACUACUGGAAACGGUGGCUAAUACCGCAUAACGUCGCAAGACCAAAGAGGGGGACCUUCGGGCCUCUUGCCAUCAGAUGUGCCCAGAUGGGAUUAGCUAGUUGGUGAGGUAACGGCUCACCAAGGCGACGAUCCCUAGCUGGUCUGAGAGGAUGACCAGCCACACUGGAACUGAGACACGGUCCAGACUCCUACGGGAGGCAGCAGUGGGGAAUAUUGCACAAUGGGCGCAAGCCUGAUGCAGCCAUGC
RNAcentral lists this ribosomal RNA (400 nucleotides) under Salmonella enterica subsp. enterica serovar Thompson. RNAcentral's name for it is "bacterial SSU rRNA". It matches the Rfam family "Bacterial small subunit ribosomal RNA", at positions 1 to 397 of the family's 1533-position model. Lineage: Bacteria; Pseudomonadati; Pseudomonadota; Gammaproteobacteria; Enterobacterales; Enterobacteriaceae. RNAcentral also lists the same sequence under 1 other name. The record is from RNAcentral.